UGGGCUCAGGAAUUGUGGGAAUAGGUAAGAAAUGUUAUUGUACAUCUCAGAUUUUGGUGUGUUGCACUGGUGCAUGCCUUGUCAUUUUAUAGUGAUGGCUAAAGCCAUUUAGUAAGUCAGCAUAUGGUUUGAUAUUUCAAUUAGUUAUUUUAGAACCUUCAAGUUGGACUAGUGAUGUCUUCACUUUUUUUUUUCCCUUUUUAAAAUUGGGUGCUGUCAUUUUCUCAUUUAUUUUGUAAGAGAAGCUUCAACACUUCCUUUUACUGGUAAGAAGUGUCUUUUAUCUAUUGACAUAUGUAGUUUUAGUAGUAAAAUAUAACAUUCUUUAAAAUUUCUGCAGUUGUUAUGCUAACACAGUG
RNAcentral lists this unclassified non-coding RNA (359 nucleotides) under Hevea brasiliensis (rubber tree). The record is from RNAcentral. Lineage: Eukaryota; Viridiplantae; Streptophyta; Magnoliopsida; Malpighiales; Euphorbiaceae.